GUCGAGCGGAACGAUUCCUAGCUUGCUGGUAGAGUCGAUCGAGCGGCGGACGGGUGAGUAACACUUAGGAAUCUACCUAGUAGUGGGGGAUAGCUCGGGGAAACUCGAAUUAAUACCGCAUACGACCUACGGGAGAAAGGGGGCAACUUGUUGCUCUCGCUAUUAGAUGAGCCUAAGUCGGAUUAGCUAGUUGGUGGGGUAAAGGCCUACCAAGGCGACGAUCUGUAGCUGGUCUGAGAGGAUGAUCAGCCACACCGGGACUGAGACACGGCCCGGACUCCUACGGGAGGCAGCAGUGGGGAAUAUUGGACAAUGGGGGCAACCCUGAUCCAGCCAUGCCGCGUGUGUGAAGAAGGCCUUUUGGUUGUAAAGCACUUUAAGCAGUGAAGAAGACCUAAUGGUUAAUACCCAUUAGCGAUGACAUUAGCUGCAGAAUAAGCACCGGCUAACUCUGUGCCAGCAGCCGCGGUAAUACAGAGGGUGCAAGCGUUAAUCGGAAUUACUGGGCGUAAAGCGAGCGUAGGUGGCUUGAUAAGUCAGAUGUGAAAUCCCCGGGCUUAACCUGGGAACUGCAUCUGAUACUGUUAGGCUAGAAUAGGUGAGAGGAA
This 608-nucleotide ribosomal RNA is filed under the name Psychrobacter sp. CS214. RNAcentral describes it as "bacterial SSU rRNA". It matches the Rfam family "Bacterial small subunit ribosomal RNA", at positions 61 to 659 of the family's 1533-position model. Lineage: Bacteria; Pseudomonadati; Pseudomonadota; Gammaproteobacteria; Moraxellales; Moraxellaceae. The record is from RNAcentral.